Molecule: long non-coding RNA, 1092 nt
Organism: Musca domestica (house fly)
Lineage: Eukaryota; Metazoa; Arthropoda; Insecta; Diptera; Muscidae
Exons: 3
Source: RefSeq, a predicted model, not a curated record
AUUUAUUUUCUUUUCUUCACUUCACUGUUCUACUAAACAUAUUCAUACGCACAGAGUUGCAUUUUCCAACGCCGAUCUAAAAGAAUCGACUCAGCAAAAAUCAACACAAACUUGGCACUACCUUUUUUUCACAAAUCAGGAGACCUGCAUAUCCGGCUCAUUUUCAGUUUGGCGUUCGAUCAUUGCCGGUUAAAACUAAUGCCGGCUUGUUUAUUUUAUUGCGCCAUGGCAUUUAUUUAUUGUGAACACCACCGCAACAAAACUUCGAAAUUGGCAAGUGUAUCGCAGAAAAUUUCGAUGUGCGGGGUUUCUGUUCUUGCCAGUCUAUUUUCUUUUACCUACAUAAAAAUGGAACUAUGAAAAAUCUUCGUUUUUCUGUGAAAAUUCAUGUGUGGACCUGAGGAAUUAAUCAGAUUACCCUCGGGACGCAUAUUCAAUGUUUUUGGUGUCUCAUUGACUUGGAGGUGUCUCAAUUACCAUGUGGUGUCUCAGCUAUCACCGUUAAUGCAGGUAUACAUGUAUGUGUACCCACGCUUCAUUCAAUGAAGCGCUGUCGGCGCCACAUAAUCUGCAUCAUCUUGUGUGUGUGAGUGCCCAUUUGUCUUCUUCUCAUUCACACACAUACUUGCUUGCAUUACUCUACUCCAAUUAGAGUUUCGUUAACGCAGCAUGUGUGCAUUCACCGCAUGCAUACCAUUCAACCUACGGAUGAUGGUCGUCUCAUUCACACACAUACCUGCUUACAUUACUCUACUCCCAUUAGAGUUUCGUAAACGCAACAUGUAUGUAUUCAAUGAAUGAACGAUUUUUGGAGAACGCAUUUGACUGAGGUUAUGAAUGGAUUUCAUCUACUAUCAACGCAUUAUUUGAAUCGAUUGGGACAUUGGAAAACAAGUGACCACACAAGCAUACUGCUCAUCACGGUAUACCAUAGGGGAACUUGUUACACCUAAACGUGCAAUGAAUUCUCUUAGCACACAGGUAUUUUCCGUUCGAGGUCAUAUUGGACGCAAACACGUCAUUUAUGGUUCUUGUUACUUUGUGCCCAAAUUAUCUGCACAGCUUGGACCGAUAACUCUAUGAGUGGACGUA